Molecule: ribosomal RNA, 493 nt
Filed under: uncultured bacterium
Lineage: Bacteria
Description: bacterial SSU rRNA
Rfam family: Bacterial small subunit ribosomal RNA
Source: RNAcentral
AAUCAACGCUGGCGGCGUGCCUCAGACAUGCAAGUCGAACGAUUAAAGCUCUCUUCGGAGAGUGUAUAGAGUGGCGCACGGGUGAGUAACACGUAAGUAAUCUACCCUCGAGUGGGGAAUAACAACCGGAAACGGUUGCUAAUACCGCAUAAUGCAGCGGCACCGCAAGGUGACAGUUGUUAAAGAUUUAUCGCUUGAGGAGGAGCUUGCGGCAGAUUAGCUAGUUGGUAGGGUAACGGCUUACCAAGGCUACGAUCUGUAACCGGUCUAAGAGGACGGUCGGUCACACUGACACUGAAUAACGGGUCAGACUCCUACGGGAGGCAGCAGUCGGGAAUUUUGGGCAAUGGGCGAAAGCCUGACCCAGCAACGCCGCGUGAAGGAUGAAGUAUUUCGGUAUGUAAACUUCGAAAGAAUAGGAAGAAUUAAUGACGGUACUAUUUAUAAGGUCCGGCUAACUACGUGCCAGCAGCCGACGGUAAAGUCGAUAUCG